UCAGCAGGCCGCGGUAAUACGGAGGGUCCAAGCGUUAUCCGGAUUUAUUGGGUUUAAAGGGUUCGUAGGCGGAAAAUUAAGUCAGUGGUGAAAUCCUACAGCUCAACUGUAGAACUGCCAUUGAUACUGAUUUUCUUGAGUAUAAUUGGAGUUGGCGGAAUAUGUCAUGUAGCGGUGAAAUGCUUAGAUAUGACAUAGAACACCGAUCGCGAAAGCAGCCAACUAAGUUAUAACUGACGCUGAGGAACGAAAGCGUGGGGAGCGAACAGGAUUAGAUACCCUGGUAGUCCACGCUGUAAACGAUGAUUACUCGAUAUUGGUCUUUGAUCAGUGUCCAAGCGAAAGUGAUAAGUAAUCCACCUGGGGAGUACGCUCGCAAGAGUGAAACUCAAAGGA
RNAcentral lists this ribosomal RNA (396 nucleotides) under uncultured bacterium. Its description in RNAcentral is "bacterial SSU rRNA". It matches the Rfam family "Bacterial small subunit ribosomal RNA", at positions 508 to 908 of the family's 1533-position model. The record is from RNAcentral.